Molecule: long non-coding RNA, 91 nt
Organism: Mustela erminea (ermine)
Lineage: Eukaryota; Metazoa; Chordata; Mammalia; Carnivora; Mustelidae
Exons: 3
Source: RefSeq, a predicted model, not a curated record
ACUGAGCCACCCAGGCGCCCCUUACCUAGCAUCUUGUUGAGAACCUUGGAAUCCAUAUUGAUCAGGGAUAUUGGUCUGAAAUUCUCCUUUU